Molecule: ribosomal RNA, 115 nt
Filed under: Urostyla sp. ABT-1992
Lineage: Eukaryota; Ciliophora; Spirotrichea; Urostylida; Urostylidae
Description: partial large subunit ribosomal RNA
Rfam family: Eukaryotic large subunit ribosomal RNA
Source: RNAcentral
UCGUACCCAUAACCGCAUCAGGUCUCCAAGGUUAGCACGCUCUGGCCAACUAGAAUAAUGUAGAUAAGGGAAGUCGGCAAAAUAGUUCCGUAACUUCGGGAAAAGGAAUGGCUCU